This 383-nucleotide ribosomal RNA is filed under the name uncultured bacterium. RNAcentral's name for it is "bacterial SSU rRNA". It matches the Rfam family "Bacterial small subunit ribosomal RNA", at positions 30 to 416 of the family's 1533-position model. The record is from RNAcentral.
AUUGAACGCUGGCGGCAUGCCUUACACAUGCAAGUCGAACGGUAACGCGGGGCAACCCUGGCAACGAGUGGCGAACGGGUGAGUAAUACAUCGGAACAUAUCCAGUAGCGGGGGAUAACCUAUCGAAAGAUUGGCUAAUACCGCAUACGAUCUACGGAUGAAAGCAGGGGACCGCAAGGCCUUGCACUAUUGGAGUGGCCGAUGUCAGAUUAGCUAGUUGGUGGGGUAAAAGCCUACCAAGGCGACGAUCUGUAGCUGGUCUGAGAGGACGAUCAGCCACACUGGAACUGAGACACGGUCCAGACUCCUACGGAGGCAGCAGUGGGGAAUUUUGGACAAUGGCGCAAGCCUGAUCCAGCCAUGCCGCGUGAGUGAAGAAGGCC